This 473-nucleotide ribosomal RNA is filed under the name Jeotgalicoccus halotolerans. RNAcentral's name for it is "bacterial SSU rRNA". It matches the Rfam family "Bacterial small subunit ribosomal RNA", at positions 9 to 473 of the family's 1533-position model. The record is from RNAcentral. Lineage: Bacteria; Bacillati; Bacillota; Bacilli; Caryophanales; Staphylococcaceae.
GAGUUUGAUUCUGGCUCAGGAUGAACGCUGGCGGCGUGCCUAAUACAUGCAAGUCGGGCGCGAAGACCAGGAGCUUGCUCCUGAGAUUCGAGCGGCGGACGGGUGAGUAACACGUAGGCAACCUACCCUUGAGAUUGGGAUAACUACCGGAAACGGUAGCUAAUACCGGAUACGACAUUCCUGCAUAAGUAAGAAUGUUAAAAGGCGGAUUUAUCUGCCGCUCAUGGAUGGGCCUGCGGUGCAUUAGCUAGUUGGUGAGAUAGUAGCUCACCAAGGCGACGAUGCAUAGCCGACCUGAGAGGGUGAUCGGCCACACUGGGACUGAGACACGGCCCAGACUCCUACGGGAGGCAGCAGUAGGGAAUCUUCCGCAAUGGACGCAAGUCUGACGGAGCAACGCCGCGUGAGUGAUGAAGGGUUUCGGCUCGUAAAACUCUGUUGUUAAGGAAGAACACUUGAGGUAGUAACUGGCC